AAAAUAAGAAGUAAUUUUACAUUUAGUUUCGACCUAAAAUUUUGAUUUUUAUUAAAUCCUUAUUUU
This 66-nucleotide transfer RNA is filed under the name Anadimonia potanini. RNAcentral describes it as "tRNA-Arg". Lineage: Eukaryota; Metazoa; Arthropoda; Insecta; Coleoptera; Chrysomelidae. The record is from RNAcentral.